UAUUCAGGUGCAUGCAUGUGUGUGUCUUAUACAAAUCACAAUGCGAGCAAUAAUAGUACAGGUUUGACAAUGAUAAAUGCCAUUGAUGUGAUUUGUGAAGUUCCGGUCUUCUAAUCGUCUUUUGAAAUGUAAUUUGCCCGUGUCUCAAUUUCUUUAUAAGGCUAAAUAACACAUGGAACUUUUGUGGAUAUGAGGAUGCAUAGCUGCAUGUGUGGGCAUACUAGGUAGACAAGAUUAGGAAUGAAGAUAUUUGGGACACAUUAGGAGUGACCUUUGUGAUGGACAAGAUGUGAGGUGAGAUUGAGAUUGUCUGUACAUGUGAAGAAGAA
This 329-nucleotide unclassified non-coding RNA is filed under the name Hevea brasiliensis (rubber tree). Lineage: Eukaryota; Viridiplantae; Streptophyta; Magnoliopsida; Malpighiales; Euphorbiaceae. The record is from RNAcentral.